CGUAGUACUACCUCUAGUGGGGGAUAGCUUCGGGAAACUGAAGGUAAUACCGCAUGUGGUGGGCCGACAUAUGUUGGUUCACUAAAGCCGUAAGGCGCUUGGUGAGGGGCUUGCGUCCGAUUAGCUAGUUGGUGGGGUAAUGGCCUCACCAAGGUCUUCGAUCGGUAGCUGGUCUGAGAGGAUGAUCAGCCACACUGGGACUGAGACACGGCCCAGACUCCUACGGGAGGCAGCAGCAAGGAAUCUUGGGCAAUGGGCGAAAGCCUGACCCAGCAACGCCGCGUGAGGGAUGAAGGCUUUCGGGUUGUAAACCUCUUUUCAUAGGGAAGAAUAAUGACGGUACCUGUGGAAUAAGCUUCGGCUAACUACGUGCCAGCAGCCGCGGUAAUACGUAGGAAGCAAGCGUUAUCCGGAUUUAUUGGGCGUAAAGUGAGCGUAGGUGGUCUUUCAAGUUGGAUGUGAAAUUUCCCGGCUUAACCGGGACGAGUCAUUCAAUACUGUUGGACUAGAGUACAGCAGGAGAAAACGGAAUUCCCGGUGUAGUGGUAAAAUGCGUAGAUAUCGGGAGGAACACCAGAGGCGAAGGCGGUUUUCUAGGUUGUCACUGACACUGAGGCUCGAAAGCGUGGGGAGCGAACAGAAUUAGGUACUCUGGUAGUCCACGCCUUAAACUAUGGACACUAGGUAUAGGGAGUAUCGACCCUCUCUGUGCCGAAGCUAACGCUUUAAGUGUCCCGCCUGGGGGAGUACGGUCGCAAGGCUAAAACUCAAAGGAAUUGACGGGGGCCCGCACAAGCAGCGGAGCGUGUUGGUUUAAUUCGAUGCUACACGAAGAACCUUACCAAGAUUUGACAUGCAUGUAGUAGUGAACUGAAAGGGGAACGACCUGUUAAGUCAGGAACUUGCACAGGUGCUGCAUGGCUGUCGUCAGCUCGUGCGCGUGAGGUGUUUGGUUAAGUCCUGCAACGAGCGCAACCCUUGUUGCUAGUUAAAUUUUCUAGCGAGACUGCCCCGCGAAACGGGGAGGAAGGUGGGGAUGACGUCAAGUCAGCAUGGCCUUUAUAUCUUGGGCUACACCACACGCUACAAUGGACAGAACAAUAGGUUGCAACAGUGCGAACUGGAGCUAAUCCCCAAAGCUGUCCUCAUUUAAUUAUUGCAGGUGUCCGCCUAGCAUGCAUGAA
Molecule: ribosomal RNA, 1184 nt
Filed under: Dehalococcoides sp. enrichment culture clone c8_4_01
Lineage: Bacteria; Bacillati; Chloroflexota; Dehalococcoidia; Dehalococcoidales; Dehalococcoidaceae
Description: bacterial SSU rRNA
Rfam family: Bacterial small subunit ribosomal RNA
Source: RNAcentral